UAAGACGAACCGUGCGAACGUUAUUCGGAAUCACUGGGCUUAAAGGGCGCGUAGACGGGCGACCGCGUCGAGUGCUGAAAGCCCCCGGCUCAACCGGGGAACGGGCCUCGAUACGGGUCGCCUCGAGGGGAGGAGGGGGACCCGGAACGGCCGGUGGAGCGGUGAAAUGCGUUGAGAUCGGCCGGAACGCCGACGGCGAAAGCAGGGUCCUGGACUCCUUCUGACGUUGAGGCGCGAAAGCCAGGGGAGCGAACGGGAUUAGAUACCCCGGUAGUCCUGGCCGUAAACCAUGGGCACUGGGUAGGGGGCUCGCCGAUGGGCUCCCUGCCGCAGCGAAAGCGUGAAGUGCCCCGCCUGGGGAGUAUGGUCGCAAGGCUG
RNAcentral lists this ribosomal RNA (378 nucleotides) under uncultured bacterium. Its description in RNAcentral is "bacterial SSU rRNA". It matches the Rfam family "Bacterial small subunit ribosomal RNA", at positions 521 to 896 of the family's 1533-position model. The record is from RNAcentral.